Picea glauca (white spruce) is the source of this 118-nucleotide non-coding RNA. The record is from Rfam. NCBI's taxonomy places the organism in Eukaryota, Viridiplantae, Streptophyta, Pinopsida, Pinales, Pinaceae.
AUGUACAUUCCUACAAUGUCAAUGCAUUGGAUCCCGUUAGAACUCCAUAUUUAAGCACACUUGGGCUAGAGUAGUACUGGGAUGGGUGACCUCCCGAGAGGUCCUAGUGUUUUACAUG